This is a long non-coding RNA of Sceloporus undulatus (fence lizard), 1341 nucleotides long. RefSeq lists it as uncharacterized. The record is from RefSeq and is a predicted model, not a curated record. The transcript has 3 exons. Lineage: Eukaryota; Metazoa; Chordata; Lepidosauria; Squamata; Phrynosomatidae.
GCUGUCUUUUGGUGGCAAACAGGCCCAGACAGCCAGAAAGGGCAUUUCUUACACGUUAGCCAAAUCAGUUAGCCAUUUUAGUUACCAGCAUCAAAGAAGGCAAAGAGAUCAGGGGCUGAAAGACCCUGCACCAGCUCCAUUGAGAGAGCAGAUCAAACCAAGAUCAGACCCAGAAAGAUGACACCCUGAAGAUUGCUGAAAAUGCAGAAUCCAUGGAUUUGGAGACCAACUGUACACUGGCUGGGCAGGAGCGGUGCUCAGGUUGCACCUCUGACGUGAAGAGAACAGGAAUUUUGGAGAACCUACACAGGACUUCCUACUCCUGUGCAGUAAAGUUGCUGUAAACCCUUCCUCUCUGAAGAGUACAGCAUCUUCUACCUGAAAAAAAGCCCUAUUUUCCCUGGUGGAAAGGUUGACUUUCCUGUCAUCACUAAGCUAUAUAACGUAUAAUUGCCAACUUUCACCUGCAAUAUUCAAUGGCACAGUUAUGCCAGAUCAUUUCUAAGGUGCUUUAUCAGUGCAAACGUGGCAGCAGUGAGCCCUAACAAAUUUCUGUCCUGGAAAAUUGACACAAACCAGCAGCUGAUGGCUUGCAGACUGGCACCAGAUCAUGGACCACCACUUUGGGAUCCACUGCUCUAGCACAUGUUCCAGGGUCGGCUGCUACAGGAAUGGGUUCUAUGACACUCACAAUGGUUCCUUGCAGCCCAGAACCCAGAAGUUAAGCCAAGCAUCAAAGCCAGGGGUUGAGGAAGUCAGAAGCAAGGGAAUGAUUCGAGGUUUGGAAUAAGCCAAAAACCAGGAUAUACCAUAAUCAACCAGGCAAAUGCCUUUUAAAGCCUUUCUUGUUGAAGAAAGCCAAUGGCCAACCUGGAUGGACAAACCUUCUUGGGGAUGUGAGAAUUCAUUAUAACCCAAGAAGAUGUGCCCCCAACCUGUAGUCCUUAUGUCUCACCACAUCUGUGCACUUUACUGAGGAUUUCUCAUUCAAGGCCCAGUAGCUCCUGAGAAUGACAUGGAAGGAGUUAACUAAAGGCAGGAAAUAUGAAAAACGCUGUAUUCUCCUUCUGGAACUUCCAAAAUGGGGAGCCAAACAAACAAACACAAAACCGGCAGAAGGUCCCAGGUCAGGGGUGAGAAUCGCUUGGCCUUUUGGAGAGGUCUAGUGCAGACCUUAGGACUCCCACCAAUUGCUCAAAGGCCCUGGCAUCCCCGAAAAGAUGUUCAUUCAAAAAGUCAUUUCUAAGCCAAAAAACACUUUCAAGUGGUUUCUCGAUGACUGACAAUGUUUUUGUUUACUUAUGCAAGGCUUACUGGACUUGGUUAUUUCAUUUCACAUGU